GGGGGGGGCGGGGGGGGGGCUUAGCAGGGGCGGGGCGAGCGGGCGGGGCCUGCUUUGGUGGGGUGCUCGGGUUGCGCCCGGGUGCGUGCCCCUGUCGUACCCUGCCCUUGCCUUUGGGAUAACUUCCUGAACCUGGGGCUCAUACCGUAUCUGAGCUCCUGAUUCCUGUGUGGGGUUGGCACUUUUCGGCGGUUGGUUAUGGACUGGCGCCUUCUACGCUUGUUGGUGGGCUAGUGGCUUACCACGGCUUUGACGGGUCGCCGGCCUGAGAGGGUGACCGGCCACAUUGGGACUGAGAUACGGCCCAGACUCCUACGGGAGGCAGCAGUGGGGAAUAUUGCACAAUGGGCGGAAGCCUGAUGCAGCAACGCCGCGUGCGGGAUGACGGCCUUCGGGUUGUAAACCGCUUUCGCCUGUGACGAAGCGUGAGUGACGGUAAUGGGUAAAGAAGCACCGGCUAACUACGUG
This 468-nucleotide ribosomal RNA is filed under the name uncultured bacterium. RNAcentral describes it as "partial 16S ribosomal RNA". It matches the Rfam family "Bacterial small subunit ribosomal RNA", at positions 35 to 507 of the family's 1533-position model. The record is from RNAcentral.